UACGGGGGGGGCAAGCGUUGUUCGGAAUUACUGGGCGUAAAGGGCUCGUAGGCGGCCAACUAAGUCAGACGUGAAAUCCCUCGGCUUAACCGGGGAACUGCGUCUGAUACUGGAUGGCUUGAGGUUGGGAGAGGGAUGCGGAAUUCCAGGUGUAGCGGUGAAAUGCGUAGAUAUCUGGAGGAACACCGGUGGCGAAGGCGGCAUCCUGGACCGACAUUGACGCUGAGGAGCGAAAGCUAGGGGAGCAAACGGG
Molecule: ribosomal RNA, 253 nt
Filed under: uncultured bacterium
Lineage: Bacteria
Description: partial 16S ribosomal RNA
Rfam family: Bacterial small subunit ribosomal RNA
Source: RNAcentral